This 667-nucleotide long non-coding RNA is filed under the name Vigna radiata. RNAcentral describes it as "long non-coding RNA (VRAD_LNC007947)". Lineage: Eukaryota; Viridiplantae; Streptophyta; Magnoliopsida; Fabales; Fabaceae. The record is from RNAcentral.
UUGUAGGUUUGGAGAAAGAGGAGGUAGUAUAAAAGAGGUGUUAGGGUUGUGUUUUGGUUCAUUGCUACCUUAAUAAAAUUGGUGAUUACGAUAAGGAAGAUGGCAUGCUCUUCUAGGACGGUUAUUUUGUUGCUUAUACUACUCACCGUCUUCAACCCUUCAACACUUGCUGAGUUUAGCACUGAAGAUUCAUACGAGAAACAUAUCGAACGAGGACAUGUUCCUAGCAUCCCUGUCCCGAGCUUUGGCAUCCCUCGCCCUCGUCCUCGUCCUAGGCCGCCACCAAUAGACAGACCCCAAAACGACGCUCCCUAGGCCUACCCUACCACUAUUUUCUAUCAUAAACAACUCUCUUCUUUCUCUUCCAUCGGGAAAUUGUACUCAAAACAAAUUUUUAUUUAUUUUUUGCAAUCUCUUUCGUUUGUUUGCUCAUGUGUAGUAUUUAAGUUCUUUUUAUUUAUGAGAAGCUUUUAUCCAGAGAAGGCUUCCUUCCAUACCAAACUUACCAACUAAUUACCAGCUUUCAAUUUCAUCUCAUCAUGUGAAAAAUAAUAAUAUAGUGAUAAUCAAUUUAUAGAUUAGUAAUUUUUGGUUAAUACUAAUGUGGCUUUCAUAUCCAUGUGUACCGUAUGCUCUACGAUCAUAUCCAUGUGAUAGAUGGUGCGGU